This 280-nucleotide ribosomal RNA is filed under the name uncultured bacterium. RNAcentral describes it as "partial 16S ribosomal RNA". It matches the Rfam family "Bacterial small subunit ribosomal RNA", at positions 333 to 610 of the family's 1533-position model. The record is from RNAcentral.
UUUAACCUACGGGGGGCAGCAGCGAGGAAUAUUGGUCAAUGGCCGGAAGGCUGAACCAGGCACGUCGCGUGAGGGACGACUGCCCUAUGGGUUGUAAACCUCUUUUAUAAGGGAAGAAUAAAUGCUACGUGUAGCAUGAUGCCUGUACCUUAUGAAUAAGCAUCGGCUAACUCCGUGCCAGCAGCCGCGGUAAUACGGAGGAUGCGAGCGUUAUCCGGAUUUAUUGGGUUUAAAGGGUGCGUAGGCGGUUUUUUAAGUUAGUGGGUAAACGUCGGGGCUU